UGGGGAAUUUUGGACAAUGGGGGAAACCCUGAUCCAGCCAUCCCGCGUGUGCGAUGAAGGCCUUCGGGUUGUAAAGCACUUUUGGCAGGAAAGAAACGUCGCGGGUUAAUACCCCGCGAAACUGACGGUACCUGCAGAAUAAGCACCGGCUAACUACGUGCCAGCAGCCGCGGUAAUACGUAGGGUGCAAGCGUUAAUCGGAAUUACUGGGCGUAAAGCGUGCGCAGGCGGUUCGGAAAGAAAGAUGUGAAAUCCCAGAGCUUAACUUUGGAACUGCAUUUUUAACUACCGGGCUAGAGUGUGUCAGAGGGAGGUGGAAUUCCGCGUGUAGCAGUGAAAUGCGUAGAUAUGCGGAGGAACACCGAUGGCGAAGGCAGCCUCCUGGGAUAACACUGACGCUCAUGCACGAAAGCGUGGGGAGCAAACAGGAUUAGAUACCCUGGUAGUCCACGCCCUAAACGAUGUCAACUAGCUGUUGGGGCCUUCGGCCUUGGUAGCGCAGCUAACGCGUGAAGUUGACCGCCUGGGGAGUACGGUCGCAAGAUU
RNAcentral lists this ribosomal RNA (546 nucleotides) under uncultured bacterium. Its description in RNAcentral is "partial 16S ribosomal RNA". It matches the Rfam family "Bacterial small subunit ribosomal RNA", at positions 355 to 895 of the family's 1533-position model. The record is from RNAcentral.